Molecule: unclassified non-coding RNA, 388 nt
Filed under: fungal sp.
Lineage: Eukaryota; Fungi
Description: partial internal transcribed spacer region
Rfam family: Eukaryotic small subunit ribosomal RNA (bases 1-46)
Source: RNAcentral
AAGUCGUAACAAGGUCUCCGUAGGUGAACCUGCGGAGGGAUCAUUAACACGUUUCCAAAAAACGUUUAUCAACCAAAUCAACGUGAACCUAAAACCAACUCCCUUAUCAGUGCGACGAACGAAUAAUCAUCAGGGUGGAGUGAAGCGAAAGCUGAACUAUGACUCGUUCUAGGGGCCCUUGAGGCUCCAAUCCGCUGAUAAGUGUCUUUGCGACCACCUGGCAGUCUACAUUCGUGUAGCGUUCUGCCGAAUUUUUCACAACAAUUUUUAACCCCUUUCACAACAUACUAAUAACUGAACCAUUUUUUUUCUCAUGUCACCUAGUGAUAUGUGAUAAAAAGAUAUACGUAAUGCUGAACAACUCUUAGCAAUGGAUAUCUUGGUUCUC